Molecule: unclassified non-coding RNA, 183 nt
Filed under: fungal sp.
Lineage: Eukaryota; Fungi
Description: partial internal transcribed spacer region
Rfam family: Eukaryotic small subunit ribosomal RNA (bases 1-46)
Source: RNAcentral
AAGUCGUAACAAGGUUUCCGUAGGUGAACCUGCGGAAGGAUCAUUACCGAUUUUAGCGAACCUGGUCGCUUUUGACCAAGGUUUCGUGAAACUUGUAUUUAAAACCCACACUUUUAUUAAAUAAUAAAAUUUAUCGUAUCAAUUAAAAAAAGAUCACUUUCAACAACGGAUCUCUUGGCUCUC